Molecule: ribosomal RNA, 450 nt
Filed under: uncultured bacterium
Lineage: Bacteria
Description: partial 16S ribosomal RNA
Rfam family: Bacterial small subunit ribosomal RNA
Source: RNAcentral
GUGGGGAAUUUUGGACAAUGGGCGCAAGCCUGAUCCAGCAAUGCCGCGUGCAGGAUGAAGGCCUUCGGGUUGUAAACUGCUUUUGUACGGAACGAAAAGCCCUGGGUUAAUACCCUGGGGUCAUGACGGUACCGUAAGAAUAAGCACCGGCUAACUACGUGCCAGCAGCCGCGGUAAUACGUAGGGUGCGAGCGUUAAUCGGAAUUACUGGGCGUAAAGCGUGCGCAGGCGGUUUUGUAAGACAGAGGUGAAAUCCCCGGGCUCAACCUGGGAACUGCCUUUGUGACUGGAAGGCUAGAGUACGGCAGAGGGGGAUGGAAUUCCGCGUGUAGCAGUGAAAUGCGUAGAUAUGCGGAGGAACACCGAUGGCGAAGGCAAUCCCCUGGGCCUGUACUGACGCUCAUGCACGAAAGCGUGGGGAGCAAACAGGAUUAGAAACCCCAGUAGUCC